CCCUUAGAUGUUCUGGGCAGCACGCGCGCUACAAUGGUCUUCGCAAACGGAUGCAUUCUCGAAGGAGAAUGCCAAUCUUGGAAUCUAUGCCUUGGUCGGGACAGUUGCUUGCAAUUUUUCGACUCGAACCAGGAAUUCCUUGUAAUCGUGAUUCAUCACAGCACGAUGAAUACGUCCCUGCCCUUUGUACACACCGCCCGUCGCUCCUACCGAUCGAAGAGUUAGGUGAAUUGUUUUGAUCGAUAAGAUUUGACUAUGGUCAACUCUCGUUGUGAAAUUCUGUGAAUCUGACUGUUUAGAGGAAGGAAAAGUCGUAACA
RNAcentral lists this ribosomal RNA (319 nucleotides) under uncultured eukaryote. Its description in RNAcentral is "partial 18S ribosomal RNA". It matches the Rfam family "Eukaryotic small subunit ribosomal RNA", at positions 1470 to 1796 of the family's 1831-position model. The record is from RNAcentral.